Molecule: non-coding RNA, 45 nt
Organism: Schistosoma haematobium
Lineage: Eukaryota; Metazoa; Platyhelminthes; Trematoda; Strigeidida; Schistosomatidae
Source: Rfam
AUCUAGCUAACGAGUCCCAAAUAGGACGAAACGCGCGUUCUGGAU